GGUUUCCCACCUCAAAUUUCAACUCCCACAUUCGGUUGUUAGCAUAACUCUUCUAUCUACUCUGUGCUGUCUGUAGGUUUUUCUUAAUUAUUGAAAUCUUUGCUAUAGUCAUCUCUACCAAAUUAGGACCAAACAUCUUCCUUUCUCCUAUUUCCUCCCAACAUAUUAGUGACCUACAAGGGCUACCAUAAAGUGCCUCGUAUGGUGCCAUGCCAAUAUUAGCUUGAUAGCUAUUAUUA
This 239-nucleotide long non-coding RNA is filed under the name Carica papaya (papaya). RNAcentral's name for it is "long non-coding RNA (CPAP_LNC004249)". The record is from RNAcentral. Lineage: Eukaryota; Viridiplantae; Streptophyta; Magnoliopsida; Brassicales; Caricaceae.